CAAACAUAUAGAAAUAUAAAAAACCAGUGAUCCAAAAUUCUACUGAAUACUGGUUUUUACAAACAUGACUCACAUGAAUAGACAUGGGGAGAAAAUAAUAGCAAAAUGUGAAAUCGAUUAUGGUUCUAUGGAUACUUAUUACUUUAUACAACAACAAAAACCAAGUCUUAUUCCGCUGGGUAAGGUUGGCUAUAUGGAUCAAACGACGUCAUAAUAUUUUAUUAUAGAUCAUAUCUUUAUCCAAAUCAUUGACAUCUAAGUCUUUCUUGAUAAUUUCUCUUCAAGGCUUUCUUAGUCUUCCUCUACCUGUAGCAUUUGAGCUCAACCCCCAUUUGAUUCACUCUCUUCACUGUAGAAUCUACAAGUCUCUUCCACAGUAAUAUGUUCAAACAUCCGACGUAACAUUCUAAUCUCUGUAACUUUGUAAAAGAAUGAUAACAAGAUCAUAUAUGUAUAUAUUUAAGCUGAAAAUUUUAUCACCUUAGGAUUACAAAGAGAACGGCGCAAGUUUGAGAAACAGCCAUCACAAACAAUGGUAAGAGGUGCACAUGCGGAUAAUUCCUGAGCAUCUUUUGUUUUGUACUGUACCCCUUUAAUUGUACCGUUCUCUUCAAGCAGUGAAGUGACUGUUCCUUGCUCCAAUUGCACACUACAUAACAAUAAUAAUAAUAAUAAUAACCACAACAAUAAUAACAAGUAACAACUGAAGAUAGAAAGUAAAGAGUCUUUUAAUUUAAAGUAAAAGAAAACAUUUACUGUGAUAAAGUUGUGCGAUUUUAGAGAAAAAUAGGAGACAAAAUAAUAAAUUUGUGCGAUUUUAGAGAAAAAUAGAAGACAAAAUAAUAAGAGUUUGAAUAUUAUUGAUAAUAGCUUUAUGCUAACUUUAUUACAAAAGACUCGAUACUAAUCUCUAUUUAUAGAGAAAUAUAAAAUCAAUCUUAAAUCAGAAACAAAUCAUAAUAAUAAUGAGAGAUAUUCUAAGAUAUCUCUAUGAUUAUAAAUUGACAUAGAAAAUAACUCAAGAUACUCUAAUAUAAUAUAAUAGAUAUUAUAAGAUAUUUUCUAAUAUUCUAACAUUCUGUAUUAAAAACAAAAACAAUAUCUAAUACUUGUAUUGUAUUUUAAAGUAUUUAGUAUAGUUUAUCUUAACCAAUGGCCUUAGCCUUUUAGGUAUCUAUUAACAAGAUCCUUAAAAUAUCAAUCCAAGUCAGCUUAAAUGACACCCAUCAGUAAAAUGAAAUUGAAAAAAAAGUCAGAUGAAACGAUCUAAGUCUUUCUUGAUAAUUUCUCUUCAAGGCUUUCUUAGUCUUCCUCUACCUGUAGCAUUUGAGCUCAACCCCCAUUUGAUUCACUCUCUUCACUGUAGAAUCUACAAGUCUCUUCCACAGUAAUAUGUUCAAACAUCCGACGUAACAUUCUAAUCUCUGUAACUUUGUAAAAGAAUGAUAACAAGAUCAUAUAUGUAUAUAUUUAAGCUGAAAAUUUUAUCACCUUAGGAUUACAAAGAGAACGGCGCAAGUUUGAGAAACAGCCAUCACAAACAAUGGUAAGAGGUGCACAUGCGGAUAAUUCCUGAGCAUCUUUUGUUUUGUACUGUACCCCUUUAAUUGUACCGUUCUCUUCAAGCAGUGAAGUGACUGUUCCUUGCUCCAAUUGCACACUACAUAACAAUAAUAAUAAUAAUAAUAACCACAACAAUAAUAACAAGUAACAACUGAAGAUAGAAAGUAAAGAGUCUUUUAAUUUAAAGUAAAAGAAAACAUUUACUGUGAUAAAGUUGUGCGAUUUUAGAGAAAAAUAGGAGACAAAAUAAUAAAUUUGUGCGAUUUUAGAGAAAAAUAGAAGACAAAAUAAUAAGAGUUUGAAUAUUAUUGAU
This 1876-nucleotide long non-coding RNA is filed under the name Cicer arietinum (chickpea). Its description in RNAcentral is "long non-coding RNA (CARI_LNC001586)". The record is from RNAcentral. Lineage: Eukaryota; Viridiplantae; Streptophyta; Magnoliopsida; Fabales; Fabaceae.